RNAcentral lists this ribosomal RNA (468 nucleotides) under uncultured bacterium. RNAcentral describes it as "partial 16S ribosomal RNA". It matches the Rfam family "Bacterial small subunit ribosomal RNA", at positions 28 to 507 of the family's 1533-position model. The record is from RNAcentral.
GACGAACGCUGGCGGCGUGCUUAACACAUGCAAGUCGAACGGAAAGGCCCUGCUUUUGUGGGGUGCUCGAGUGGCGAACGGGUGAGUAACACGUGAGUAACCUGCCCUUGACUUUGGGAUAACUUCAGGAAACUGGGGCUAAUACCGGAUAGGAGCUCCUGCUGCAUGGUGGGGGUUGGAAAGUUUCGGCGGUUGGGGAUGGACUCGCGGCUUAUCAGCUUGUUGGUGGGGUGGUGGCUUACCAAGGCUUUGACGGGUAGCCGGCCUGAGAGGGUGACCGGCCACAUUGGGACUGAGAUACGGCCCAGACUCCUACGGGAGGCAGCAGUGGGGAAUAUUGCACAAUGGGCGGAAGCCUGAUGCAGCAACGCCGCGUGCGGGAUAACGGCCUUCGGGUUGUAAACCGCUUUCGCCUGUGACGAAGCGUGAGUGACGGUAAUGGGUAAAGAAGCACCGGCUAACUACGUG